UGGGGAAUAUUGCACAAUGGGCGCAAGCCUGAUGCAGCCAUGCCGCGUGUAUGAAGAAGGCCUUCGGGUUGUAAAGUACUUUCAGCGGGGAGGAAGGGAGUAAAGUUAAUACCUUUGCUCAUUGACGUUACCCGCAGAAGAAGCACCGGCUAACUCCGUGCCAGCAGCCGCGGUAAUACGGAGGGUGCAAGCGUUAAUCGGAAUUACUGGGCGUAAAGCGCACGCAGGCGGUUUGUUAAGUCAGAUGUGAAAUCCCCGGGCUCAACCUGGGAACUGCAUCUGAUACUGGCAAGCUUGAGUCUCGUAGAGGGGGGUAGAAUUCCAGGUGUAGCGGUGAAAUGCGUAGAGAUCUGGAGGAAUACCGGUGGCGAAGGCGGCCCCUGGACGAAGACUGACGCUCAGGUGCGAAAGCGUGGGGAGCAAACA
RNAcentral lists this ribosomal RNA (426 nucleotides) under Chloroflexota bacterium. RNAcentral's name for it is "Chloroflexi bacterium partial 16S ribosomal RNA". It matches the Rfam family "Bacterial small subunit ribosomal RNA", at positions 355 to 774 of the family's 1533-position model. The record is from RNAcentral. Lineage: Bacteria; Bacillati; Chloroflexota.